UACGUAGGUGGCAAGCGUUGUCCGGAAUUACUGGGCGUAAAGCGCGCGCAGGCGGUUCUUUAAGUCUGAUGUGAAAGCCCUCGGCUCAACCGAGGAGGGUCAUUGGAAACUGGAGGACUUGAGUGCAGAAGAGGAAAGUGGAAUUCCAAGUGUAGCGGUGAAAUGCGUAGAGAUUUGGAGGAACACCAGUGGCGAAGGCGACUUUCUGGUCUGUAACUGACGCUGAGGCGCGAAAGCGUGGGGAGCAAACAGG
This 253-nucleotide ribosomal RNA is filed under the name uncultured bacterium. Its description in RNAcentral is "partial 16S ribosomal RNA". It matches the Rfam family "Bacterial small subunit ribosomal RNA", at positions 524 to 776 of the family's 1533-position model. The record is from RNAcentral.